Corticium candelabrum is the source of this 780-nucleotide long non-coding RNA. RefSeq lists it as uncharacterized. NCBI's taxonomy places the organism in Eukaryota, Metazoa, Porifera, Homoscleromorpha, Homosclerophorida, Plakinidae. The record is from RefSeq and is a predicted model, not a curated record. The transcript has 4 exons.
CACACACAUCCCGGAUAUAUAGCCCGGAUAAGUUUAACUUGCACGUGCACGGUAGACCAUUCUCACGUGCACAAAUGGCUAGUAGUUCGAAAUGUGAGGUGCUAUGCUGACAGAUUGUGGGAAUUGCGCUUUCUCUGCGAGCAGUUACCACACUCAAAAUCGACUUUCUCGAGAAACAAUUGACUCCAGAAAAGCUUUGCGUGAUGCAGUUAUUAUACAAGACGGCAGGAAUUCUAGAAGAGUAACCUGGAUAACUUCCAUUAUUGCACCUGCCAGAAGACAAAUUACAUGUGUGGUUUAGGCAUAAAUCACCUAUGUUUCGAUUAAUUAACAUUUCUGGAUCUCGAUAAGGUUUGAAUUUUUAGUUCAUCUUUUGAGAUUCUCCAGAGUUACACAGAAAGUGCCUUUUCUUCAGGGAGCUGCCGUGACCAAUUUUCUGAAGAAAUGAGUGCAACUAAGUUUGUAUAGCUGCAUUGCAUUUUGACUCGUAGUGCUUUUAGCUAUUGUACUUUGUACAUUUGAUAGAUUAUUUGCAGGAUCUUUUGGGAGACCAGCCAUGCUGAAAGUGAUUUCUGAAUAGAUUUGCAUACAUGAUGAUGGUGGGUAUAUCUAUUUAUAUCUAUAAUGCUCACUUGAGCGAUCUGCCAUUCAUUGUGUCCCUGGCUGUUAGAUUGGGAGUCUUCUCAGAUAGGGCUCCAUAUAUGAGGGCUAGCUGUUACAGUAAUUCUGGUUUCAAAACUUGAUAAAUACCAAAGGGCGGUGUUUCUUUACUAUGAUGAG